Molecule: non-coding RNA, 23 nt
Filed under: Arabidopsis thaliana (thale cress)
Lineage: Eukaryota; Viridiplantae; Streptophyta; Magnoliopsida; Brassicales; Brassicaceae
Source: RNAcentral
GGAUCUAACAAUGCAGAGCCGGU